UACGUAGGGCGCAAGCGUUGUCCGGAAUUAUUGGGCGUAAAGAGCUCGUAGGUGGUUUGCUGCGUCCGCUGUGAAAACCCAAGGCUUAACCUUGGGCUUGCAGUGGAUACGGGCAGACUAGAGGUAGGUAGGGGAGAAUGGAAUUCCCGGUGUAGCGGUGAAAUGCGCAGAUAUCGGGAGGAACACCGGUGGCGAAGGCGGUUCUCUGGGCCUUACCUGACACUGAGGAGCGAAAGCGUGGGGAGCGAACAGG
RNAcentral lists this ribosomal RNA (253 nucleotides) under uncultured bacterium. Its description in RNAcentral is "partial 16S ribosomal RNA". It matches the Rfam family "Bacterial small subunit ribosomal RNA", at positions 524 to 776 of the family's 1533-position model. The record is from RNAcentral.